GUUAUAUAUCUGGAUAUGGAAAUUGAGCUACAAAGCUGAGCACAGAACUAUGACUAUUCAAACACAUUGAAGAUACAACAGAGAAUGAAUAGCAAUGAAAGACAGUCUUGACUUGCUGCCAAGAGAAGAGAUGAUGAACGGCCGAUUUGAGACAACUACCACUCAAAGGAUUUAUAAGAAGGAAAUGUUCUACAUUACCUCAAGAAGAACAGAACAUGAGUUCAUUACACCCAUUGCAUCUAUUAGAUAGGGCUAAACUCUCAGAUUUUGAAUGCUGUCUUUGAUAAGCAUAGCUAGCUGUACUGUUGUCAUAGCUCAAGACUCAAGUACUGAUUUAUGCCUUGACCCUAAGUAACAUUCUGAAAAUGCUACUAAAUUUGAGAUCCUGAUUUGGAAGUCAAGAAUUGUGUGAUGUAAACAUAAUUUUGAAGUCUAAAUACCAGUUAUUCUUGAAAACAAAACAAAACAAAAACACAGCUCCAAAGGCUGGCAAUUAAUCAUCAACAUCAACGUGUGUUUAUUAAGCCCUGCUUUGAGAGCUAUAAAAUAUAUAUUAGAACGUCUCUAUUUUAAGAAGCUCACAAACUUUCUGUAAUAAAGGUAAAGUUUAUUCUCUUCACGAACAGGGCUCCUUGCUAGUAUAUAUGCAUUGUUUAAAGCACAUUCUUCUAGGUUAUUUCAUUCUAUGGGGACUCUGAGUCUUUCAUUGCCUUUGAACUAUUUUACAACACUGUAAAUUGUAGAUAACCGAUAGCAGUACAAAAGAAUUCUCCUCUAUAGAUAUGCAAAUAAAUUCUGUCCAGUGGAAGUUCAAAGACUUCCCUCCUCCACUGUGGAAGCAGCCAGUUUUGUGUCCAUUUGCAAAUUCAUUUCAACAUUCCUG
Molecule: long non-coding RNA, 883 nt
Filed under: Equus caballus (horse)
Lineage: Eukaryota; Metazoa; Chordata; Mammalia; Perissodactyla; Equidae
Description: lncRNA (ENSECAG00000051157.1)
Source: RNAcentral